This 563-nucleotide ribosomal RNA is filed under the name uncultured bacterium. Its description in RNAcentral is "bacterial SSU rRNA". It matches the Rfam family "Bacterial small subunit ribosomal RNA", at positions 100 to 692 of the family's 1533-position model. The record is from RNAcentral.
GCACGGGUGAGUAACACGUGACUAACCUACCCUGGAGUGGGGGAUAACUGAGGGAAACCUUAGCUAAUACCGCAUAACACCUACGAGUCAAAGGAGCAAUUCGCUUUGGGAGGGGGUCGCGGCCGAUUAGUUAGUUGGCGGGAUAAUGGCCCACCAAGACUGUGGUCGGUAUCCGGCCUGAGAGGGCGCACGGAACACACUGGAACUGAAACACGGUCCAGACUCCUACGGGAGGCAGCAGUGGGGAAUUUUGCGCAAUGGGGGAAACCCUGACGCAGCAACGCCGCGUGGAGGAUGAAGUACUUCGGUACGUAAACUCCUUUCGAUCGGGACGAUAAUGACGGUACCGAGAGAAGAAGCCCCGGUUAACUUCGUGCCAGCAGGCGGGUAAUACGAGGGGGGCGAGCGGUUGUUCGGAAUUAUUGGGCGUAAAGGGUGCGUAGGCGGUUUGGUAAGUCUGAUGUGAAAUCUAUGGGCUUCAAAUCAUAGUCUGCAUCGGAAACUGCCGGGCUUGAAAUGUGGGGAAGGUGAGUGGAAUUUCCCGGUGUACGGUGAAAUGCGUA